UUUAUUUAUUUGAAAGUCAGAGUUACACACAGAGAGAAGGAGAGGCAGAGGCAGAAGCGGAAAGAGAGAGAGAGAGAGAGAGAGGUGUCUUCCAUCCGCUGGUUCACUCCGUAGUUGGCCGCAACGGCCAGAAGCCAAGAGCCAGGAGCUUCUUCUGGGUCUCCCACAUGGGUGCAGGGGCCUAAGGACUUGGACCAACUUAUACUUUCCCAGGCCAUAGCAGAGAGCUGGAUUGGAAGUGGAGCAGCUGGGACUCGAACCGGCACCCAUACGGGAUGUUGACAUUGCGGGCGGCAGCUUUACCUGCUAUGCCACAGCACGGACCCCAGUGACCUCUAGGCCUCUGGCUGUGAGAUGGGGGCACUUGAAGAAGAGAGGGCCUCUGUGUGGCCUCUCUGUGGUGUUUCCUAGCUCUGGGGCCCGGCGCUCCAUCUCCAGGCCCCGUCACCUGCUGGAAUGGCCGAGAGUGACCUCAUAAAGCAUGAUUCCUCUCUGCUGCCUCCCGGAAUCCAGACGCAGAGGGAAUCUCUAAGCAGAAUUUCUGCUGGAUUAUAAAAGCGAGGAAUAAAAACGGCAAAUUGGGACAAUGUCUCAAGUCUUUCGCCGGAACCAUUUGCGGGUCGUCUCUAGUUCACUGCUGGACACUGCGUCGCUGGCGUUUUAUACGCGGUUCAGGAAGUUUAAGAGGAAAGACGAUCAGUGUCGCGCGUUUGUGAAGAGAGUUGUGACGAGUCGCCUCUUUCAGAUCGUUAUGAUCAGCACCGUCUCGCUGAAUGCUUUUUUCAUGGUCUUGUGGACCAGUUACAAAAUCAGAUACCAGUUGUUCAGAGUGCUUGAGAUCUCAGAGGUCAUCUUUGUGUCCAUCUAUGCCUCCGAGUUCUCCAUGAAGGUCUAUGUGGACCCCAUCGACUACUGGAAGGACGGCUACAACCUGCUGGAUGUGGUCAUUAUCAUCAUUAUCGUCAUCCCCCACUUCCUCCGAAAGAUCAAGGACAAGCACUACCCCUACUUCAACAUCGCCGAUGGCAUCCAGUCGCUGCGCAUCCUCAAGUUCAUCACCUACAGCCGGGGCAUCCGGACCCUCAUCACGGCCGUGGGGCAGACCGUGUACACCGUGGCCUCCGUGCUCACCCUGUUCUUCGUCCUCAUGUACAUCUUCGCCAUCCUGGGCUUCUGCCUGUUUGGUGCUUCGGAGAAAGGCGACCUGAAUAACUGGGGGAACCUGGCUGUGGCUUUCUUCACUCUCUUCAGCUUGGCCACGGUUGAUGGCUGGACAAACCUGCAGCAGCAGCUGGACAACCGGAAUUUUGUUCUGAGUCGGGCGUUCACCAUCACCUUCAUCUUGAUCGCCUCCUUCAUCUUCCUCAGCAUGUUUGUGGGUGUGAUGAUCAUGCACACUGAGGACUCCAUCAAGAAGUUUGAGCGAGAGCUGAUGUUGGAGCGGCACGUGACCCUCAUGGAAGAGAAGCAGGUGAUCCUGAAGCGGCAGCAGGAGGAGGUCAGCAGGCUGAUGCGGAAGCAGAAAAGCGUCGACUACAAGAGCUUCAGCGAGCUGGUGGAGAACUUCAAGAAAACCUUGCGGCACACGGACCCCAUGGUCUUGGAUGACUUCGGCACGAGCCUGCCCUUCAUUGACAUCUACCUGUCCACUCUGGACAACCAGGACGCCACGGUCACCAAGCUUCAAGGGCUGUACUAUGAGAUCGCACAUGUGCUGAGCCUGAUGCUCGAAGACCUGCCCCCGAAGUCGCAGUCCUCGCAGAAGUCCCAUGAUAAGUAGCUGGCGCGGGCCCCGGCUCGGAGGGCCUCGCAGGCUGUGCUGAGCCCCAUUAAACACAGCUUCCAAGUCGGCCUCUCCGGAGUUGCUGCGACAGUGCUGCUUCCCCGUCCUCGGGACCUGGGCCUGGGUGAGGAAGCUGAGGCUCAGAGCUUAUGUGGCAGCGAGUAAGAAGUGACACCAGGAGUGGAGUCAGGUUCUGUCGGAAGCUCGUGCUUGUAACCUGUGUGAUCUCGUCCGUGGUCCUCAGCGCCCUGGAGGUGGCUGGUGGGAGCCCAGGACUCCGUGACUUCAGAGCGCGGGGACUGCAUCUCACCCAAGUGGUAGCUCCUGACCCGUGAGUGUCUGGGAGUGCAGGUGCUUCCCGGAGGUGUGGGGGAGUGUGGAGGGGCAGGAGGCUGGCCACAGGGACCCUCCGAGACUCGGAGAUGCUCCCAGAGGGCAGGAGGUUGAGAUGAGCACGGAGUUUGUGCCUCUUGAGGGCCAUGUGUGCUGGUCACGUAGCGCUCCUGGAACCCCAGCACCGGCCCCAGAAACCCGUGGGCGCAGGCCAGGCUGACUCACCCAGGGAGGCCUGGACUCUGGGAGGAAAGGUCAGGUCCUGGGGAGGAGCCCAGCCCAGGGCUGCAAUCCAGCUCUCUUGGCCCCUGCACCAGCCUUGGCUCAGCCGUUUCCCUGGCAUGGGGGACUAGGGGAGUCUCUGGGAACCCGGGGGCCUGGGUGGAUCUCAGCUGCCCCCUGCCAGCCUGUGGGAGGGUCAGUGGUGACACCCAGCUCAAUGCCAGCCCCUGGCCAGGGUGUCUCCGGGGGUCCCCAGCCCCACUGCGCAUGAGCUCCUCCUUCAGUCGCCUUUCCUGGGCUGAGGGUGUGCACCCAUAGAAGUUGUGCCUGGAGAGGCUGGAGCCCGGGUGGGGACAAGCCUCCAUCCCAGUGUGUCCUGGAAAGUGCCCAGCUAGGCCACAGGCGGGAACGCUCCGGGGAAACCCUUGCCGGCUGCCACGGCCUGGCAGGCGACGGCGUGGCCAGCACUCUGUAGCCGCGGUGCCUUGGAGGGGUUGCCAAGCAUUUUCCGUGAAGUCACUGGGACGUUAAACCCUCUGCGCAGUGAACUGGGUUAAUAAGCUUUGUCUGAUGUUGAUGAGCACUAAUGAUAUAAUGUGAUAAUGGCAAUGAUGGCGCUCUCAGCGGUGAUUAUCACACGUGCGGCACUGUCCAGGCACGGAGGGGCGGCGUGCGCAUUCCACACGCCCAGGCCCCAUUUUCCACUCAUAAACCCCGUUCUUCAAAGCCGCUCCUGCCCAACUCCCUAGAUCCACUUUCAGGACAAAUUACCAACACUUAAAAAAAAUUGGUCCAUUUUGUGUGAAAGCCAAGUCCAAAUUACUGUUGCGUUCCCCUUUGUGUAUGGAACGUGCCGGAGGGUGGGGCCUGGGCGCCGAGGGGGACGAGGGGGACACUGGCGGAGGGUGGGGGGAAGGCGGAGAGCCAGGGGUACACGAGGCAGAAAACACCAGCCUCGUUUCAGUGAAAACGUGUUUCUGGAACGAUGCUCCGGUUUACUCAGGCAGAAAAAUUAGAAACGGUGUGCUUAUUAAAGAGGCGAAGCAAGCGUGACUAUUUUUAGUAGUGUAGUAAAACCCUGGUAAUUUGGACGUCUUCAAUAAA
This is a non-coding RNA of Oryctolagus cuniculus (rabbit), 3442 nucleotides long. Lineage: Eukaryota; Metazoa; Chordata; Mammalia; Lagomorpha; Leporidae. The record is from RefSeq and is a predicted model, not a curated record.